Long non-coding RNA from Cyprinus carpio carpio, 4948 nucleotides. NCBI's taxonomy places the organism in Eukaryota, Metazoa, Chordata, Actinopteri, Cypriniformes, Cyprinidae. The record is from Ensembl.
AUGCUCGGGUGUGAUGAAAUAAACCUCUUAACCCACCUGAUAUUUCAUGCAUUUCGUCGUAAAAGUAAAACCACAAGUUGGUGUCUGCAGUCACAGAGUAUAAUGGAAACAGGGGUAAAGAUCUUGUCACUCCUCCCCUACAUACCUACAAUUCACCUCCCAUUUGCUAACUUCAGAACAGAAAAGACCGAACCAGAGAACAGUAAUACAUACAUUGCUGCAGAGACCAAGGCAGAAAGAAAAUUACAAUCAAAAUCCAAUAAUCAGACAAAUGGAUCCCAGCCAGUCUUUCAGUCACACCCGGCCAUAUCCAGGACAGUGCGUGGUUGGUGUGCAGCCUGCAGUUUUUGUGACCCCCAAUCCACCGGCCAGUCUAGUGCCAGAUCACUUGGGCUACUCCAUCUUUACCAUGCUGUGCUGCUGUUUACCUCUGGGCAUUGCUGCACUGGUUUACUCCUGCUCUACUCGAGAUGCCAUCUACUCAGGACAGCAAGAAUUAGCAAAGAAGAACUCCAGAACAGCGCUCAUGCUGAAUCACAUCGGCCUUGGGAUUGGCAUGGUUAUUAUUGUAUUGGUUAUUAUCAACCAUAUGGCGAAAUAAAGAGAAAAGCUGUUAGAGCUGACAUGGCUGGAUGCAGAUUACAAACAGAUUGGUUUGUCUUUAUUUUAAAUGUUACUUGCUCAAUUUAUCAUUAUUCUCCUGCUUUAAGGCUGAUUAUUCUGUUUAAACCAAUGAAAGCUACCCUGCAAUUUUUUUUUUUUUUUUUUUUUUUUGUUCUCUUUACUUCUAAAAUGUUUUGUUUAGACUUUUUGCUUAUGUUAAAUAUCUUGUGUGCAGCUGUGCUCGUUUUUUCAGUGAUCAACCAAUUUAAACAGAAAUUAAAGUGUUAGUCAAAUACUCAAAUCAGAAAGCACAUACACAUUUUUUUUCUAAAUCAAUUAUAAAGGUCUUUCUCAAUUAAUUAAAUGUACUUAAAGUGCAUGUUUUACUCAGAAACAUCUAAGUAAAUAUAACAAUAAAUAUCAUAUAAACACCACAUUUAUAGAAUUAUUAAUGUGACACUCAUCCAAAAAGACUGCAGUACUUAGUAAACAACACACAAUGUUGGUAACAAUCUGUGGUUCAUUUUUUGAGAAUGUGUCAUUUUGAGUUCAACAUGAACUCUGCAAGUUACUAAACCUGACAACAAAAGCAAUGACAAAACAGUGUAAAUCAGCAGAAAACAGCAAAAACUUUAUUAAUUAUUCAUGCCCCAGUGCAUUGUGGGAACACCAGUAUCAGAAAAGUUGAGUAGGUUUUACUUAAUCAAUAAAAAAGUAGUAUUUACUUCACCACAGAAUCAUUUUUAUCAGUGUAGCAUGGACUGCUGACAAAAAGAAAACAAAACAAAACAAAAAAACUUUCUAAACAAUUAGAUGUAGAUGUAAUUUUGAAAAAGUGACCUAUUUUGAGAGAUGUUUCCCAGCGAUUGCAAAUAAUAACCCCCAAAAGACACACUUAGGAAUCAUGAAAUCAUCCCCAUCUGUGUCCUGAUAUUUCAUCAUGUUACAUGUUGGUUCCACCAGGUGGCGCCUAUUAGUCACCUUAAUUGUAAGGUGAUGCAAAUACAACAGAUUAAUCUUCACCUGAGUACACACCAGAGAUAGACACUGUUCAGUGGUGCAAGAAAACCACAUCGUGACCAAGAGAAACAUGGAUUCCAAAAAGUUCAGCAACAGGGCCGCCUUUGCUUCCACUGCAGCAGAACCCCCCUGAGUACUCCAAUGUUGGAUUCCCCUCCCUCUCACAGCUAUUCCAGCACUUCCCAGCAAUACAGAGCUCCGCUGGCAUCUGGCCUGUACACUCAAGCGUCAUAUCCGGGGCAGAUUGUGGUCACUGUUUAUCCUUUGGUCAUAGGCGGAGUUUCACUUUUAUGCGUGGGGGAGCACCCACUGGCAGACGAGCCACGAGCACUUUUUUUUAUAUGUUCAACAUUUCACAUAUUCUACAUUUAGAAUGAACAAUAACUGCUAAUUAAAAACCUUAAAUGAAUUUAGCCUAAAACGUAGGCUACUUAUUCUAUCUACUAAAAUAACAAGAUAAUACAAAUAAAAUUAGAAAAUAUAAAUUAUAUAAUUUUUAUUUUUUAUUCAUAGCUCAGACAAAAUCAUGAUUGGCUCUGCCCAUCCUUUUGCUAGGAUAUGGUUAAUUCUCAUAUUUUAAAUUAGUGAUGUCCGGUUCGCCAACGAAUCGUUCGAUUUAACCGGUUCUUGUUAGUGAAUCGGUUGAACCAGUUCACCAAAUCAGACUGAAUCGUUUGAAGCGGAUCGCGUCUCCAGUAAGCAUUAAUCCACAAGUUGCUUAAGUUUUUCACUUUUUUAACGUGGCUGACACUCCCUCUGAGUCGAAAUAAACCAAUAUCCCGGAGUAAUUAAUUUACGGUCCGUGUACGUUUUGAUCAUUUAAUUUCCUAUUUAGAAUGCAAUAUAAGAAAUGGGAAAAAUGGCUCGUUUAUUCGUUUUUCCGUUUAGUUUAACAAACGGAAAAUGAGAUUUUGGCUGGAUUUCUCAUUUUUCGUUUGACGUUUAUUUCAUUCGCACUUGUGGGCGGCGCUGAAACGCUCCUUUCAUCUGAUUGGUCGAAUCGCUCCGCACGGCCUUUUCAUUCUUUCAGGCAGAAUAAUAGUCAGUACUAUAAUGUCUGAAACCACCACUCACUGUUAAUUAGCAUAAUAAUUGAUUCAGAUGUUGUUGGGCACAUAAUUCGCGCUGCUGCGACUUGCAAGUGACCCCUUUAAAUUAUUUCUAGGUUAUAGUAUUGUAUGAAUAUUUUCCCAUUGAUAAAUACAAUGCAAAUAGUUCUGUCUCCUUGGAUAAAAGUUAAGUGGAAAUAAAAAUAAAUAAUGGACUGAGCAGUUCCAUGAUAAUAUGUCUGUAACAUUUACCACUCUCGUCUUUUAAGUCAAAAGGCACUAGGUAUGUGUGUGUGACAUUAAUAAAUAAUUGUGAAAAUUAAUAAAGUUAAAUUUAUUAAAUAAAUUAGAAAUAACGUUUACAUUUAUGAAUGUAAGCAUGUGUAGCCAACUCAGUUCACAUGAAAAGAAUGAGAUAGAAAAGAGACACGGUAAAAUCAGUGAACAAUAUUAACAGGGUUUAGGGCAAAUAAAAUCCCUAUUUUUCAUGCCUUAUAAUUUUAUUAGUUUUAUUACAUACUAAAUUGGUUGAUGUUUCUCUUCUUAGUCUUCUUUGUUGGGCUUGAGAAAGCCAACAUAUAUUUAAACAUUAUUAUUAUUUAUUAUGAGAGUAAUUGACACCGACUAGAACUUUAAUGUUUCACCAAAUUCAGCUCAGACCUUCAGACUCGUCUGACUCACGUUGCCGUAGAACUAGUCAGACUUACCUUCCCAAAAAAUCCUAGUGACUUUCGUUAUCUGAACAAUGAAGGCCUUAAUACUUAAUGUCCACUAGAGGGGGCGACAGGUUUAAAAAUAACCCAGUCUACUCUUUUUCUGUUUACAUCAGUUUAAAUGCCAAAUAAAUACAUGAAUUUCAUGUGUACUGCCAUGAAUAUGCCAUAUCUGUGUACAAGAAUAAACUUCACACUUCAAGCUGUACAACUACUUAAAACUUCUCAUUCUGGCUUUUUAAACCUACCUCCAAAUUUAUUUUAAGGUAUAGUUUAUUCACACUGGUUUAUGCAUUUAAUGUUUGUCCAUCUGGAACUUUUAUUUUUCAUGAGCUGUAUAUUUUAAGAUGUACUAGGUGUUGAUAAAUCACCUGCAAUGAAUGUAAAAGAGCUAAUGUCAGGGCUCUCAGUCCUGCUCCUGAGGGCCAGUGUCCUGCUGUCACGAAACGCACACAAAGAGGUAGAUCCAAAUGCAGUGUUUAAUGGGUAAUCCAGAAUUCAUAAAUCUAGCCAGGCAACGGUCAAAAUCCAGGUAAUCAGUCCAAAACAAGAACCACGAACAAAGCAAGGAAACACGAAACAGCAGGGUGACUUCAAACAAGGACUCCGUAACAAUGACAGAACAACCAGGGUAUUUAAAGACAGGUGCAAACAAUGUAAGUGGGGACAGCUGAAUACAAUGAACAGUGAUGAAUACAGACAAGACUUGUGGGAAAUGUAGUUCCUAAGUAGGGGUGACGAAAUGGGGAAGUGAGACCUCUAGCGGACACCCAUGGAUACACAAACCAGACACUGUGACACCUGCAAAGUUUAGCUUUCCAAAUAAACACACCUAAGCUAAGCAAGGUCUUCAGGAUCAGUAGCAAUGUCCAAGCAAGUGUGUUGGAACUGAACUCUGCAGAACAUGGUUUUCCAGGUUCAGGACUGGGUUUUAAAUCUAUAAAUGAUUCUGUACAGUUGGGUGUCUGCAUGCAGCCACGUUAAAAAAAGUUAAUCAUUUAAGUAACUUGUGGAUUAAUGCUUACUGGAGACGCGAACCGUUUCAAACAAUUCAGUCCGAAUUGGUGAACUGGUUAAACCGGUUCCCAAACAGAACUGGUUAAAUCGAACGAUUAACCAUAUCCAAGCAAAAGAAUGAAGCCUGACAGAUGUUGGCAUGUUACAUGGUCUCUACAUACCUCAUGCAAACACAUAUCUGAAACAUCAGACCUCUAAUCUUAAACCACAAUUUGCAGUCAGCACAAGAUAUAAAAGGCAUUGGUAAAAAAAAAUUGUCAAAAGAGAUGAAAGAAAAAUAGUGGUCAUCUAUGCAAUUCGGAAAAAGAGGCAGCUUUUCUGCAUUGGUUUUAUUAUUUUUUUCUUUUUGUUAAUUAAAUUUUAUUUAUUUUUUCAGCAGUUAUUGUUCAUUCUAAAUGUACUUUUAAUGUAGAAUAUGUGAAAUUUUGAACAUAUAAAAAAGUGCUCGUGGCUCGACUUCCAGUGGGUGCUCCCCCACGCAUAAAAGUGAAACUCUGCCUAUGACCAAAGGAUAAACUGUGACCACAAUCUGCCCCGGAUAUGAUG